GCCGGUGUGGCGAAAUGGAAGACGCACAGGACUUAAAAUCCUGGGACUUGCAAAAGUCGUGCGGGUUCGAGUCCCGCCACCGGCACCA
This 88-nucleotide transfer RNA is filed under the name Limisphaerales bacterium. Its description in RNAcentral is "Verrucomicrobia subdivision 3 bacterium (hot springs metagenome) tRNA-Leu". It matches the Rfam family "tRNA". From Rfam's summary of the family: Transfer RNA (tRNA) molecules are approximately 80 nucleotides in length. The record is from RNAcentral. Lineage: Bacteria; Pseudomonadati; Verrucomicrobiota; Verrucomicrobiia; Limisphaerales.